Molecule: small RNA, 28 nt
Filed under: Bombyx mori (domestic silkworm)
Lineage: Eukaryota; Metazoa; Arthropoda; Insecta; Lepidoptera; Bombycidae
Description: ovarian small RNA-9188
Source: RNAcentral
UGUUCUACCUCCCUGUCGCCCAGCGAUG